UACGAAGGGGGCUAGCGUUGCUCGGAUUUACUGGGCGUAAAGGGCGCGUAGGCGGUUUGUUCAGUCAGACGUGAAAUUCCCGGGCUCAACCUGGGGGCUGCGUUUGAUACGUGCAGGCUUGAGUGUGGAAGAGGGUCGUGGAAUUCCCAGUGUAGAGGUGAAAUUCGUAGAUAUCGGGAGGAACACCGGUGGCGAAGGCGGUUCUCUGGGCCUUACCUGACGCUGAGGAGCGAAAGCGUGGGGAGCGAACAGG
Molecule: ribosomal RNA, 253 nt
Filed under: uncultured bacterium
Lineage: Bacteria
Description: partial 16S ribosomal RNA
Rfam family: Bacterial small subunit ribosomal RNA
Source: RNAcentral